AUGGAUUGGAACCCACAUGUACUCUCUUGGAAUGUGAGGGGCCUUAAUAACCCUGCAAAAAGAAAUGUGGUUAGGGAGUUUGUAAUAGAUGCGAAGGUGAACUUGGUGUGUCUUCUAGAGACGAAGCUAGAUGUACUCGAUAAAUAUUUGGUGAUGCAAUGCAUUGGGCCAUCUUUUGAUGGCUUUGCUUAUCUGUCGGCGAUCGAUACGAGGGGUGGUAUUUUGCUUGCUUGGGAUAGUUCAUACAUGGAGAUAGACAAUCUAGUCUGGGACUCAAACUUCCUCAUGGGGCACGUGUGUAACAAAGAUGGAUGGGAUUGGUGGUUAUCCGUGGUGUAUGCCCCCCAAGGGGAU
Molecule: ribosomal RNA, 354 nt
Filed under: Triticum aestivum (bread wheat)
Lineage: Eukaryota; Viridiplantae; Streptophyta; Magnoliopsida; Poales; Poaceae
Description: partial small subunit ribosomal RNA
Source: RNAcentral